UGAGGAAUAUUGGUCAAUGGGCGCAAGCCUGAACCAGCCAUCCCGCGUGAAGGAAGAAUGCGCUAUGCGUUGUAAACUUCUUUUCCAGGGGAAUAAAAUUUCGUACGAGUACGGGACUGAAGGUACCUUGGUAAUAAGCAUCGGCUAACUCCGUGCCAGCAGCCGCGGUCAUACGGGGGAUGCGAGCGUUAUCCGGAUUUAUUGGGUUUAAAGGGUGCGUAGGCGGAAAAAUAAGUCAGUGGUGAAAACCUUCAGCUUAACUGGAGACUUGCCAUUGAUACUGUUAUUCUUGAGUAUAGUUAAGGUAGGCGGAAUGUGUAAUGUAGCGGUGAAAUGCUUAGAUACUACACAGAACACCAAUUGCGAAGGCAGCUUACUGAGCUAUAACUGACGCUGAUGCACGAAAGCGUGGGGAGUGAACA
Molecule: ribosomal RNA, 422 nt
Filed under: uncultured prokaryote
Description: bacterial SSU rRNA
Rfam family: Bacterial small subunit ribosomal RNA
Source: RNAcentral